Ditylenchus destructor is the source of this 73-nucleotide non-coding RNA. NCBI's taxonomy places the organism in Eukaryota, Metazoa, Nematoda, Chromadorea, Rhabditida, Anguinidae. The record is from the annotation of a GenBank genome assembly.
AGCAGUGUGGCGCAAUGGUAGCGUGCUGGGCCCAUAACCUAGAGGUCGAUUGGAUUGAAACCAUCCUCUGCUA